UUGGGUGGACGGUUGGACUUGA
RNAcentral lists this microRNA (22 nucleotides) under Gallus gallus (chicken). RNAcentral describes it as "gga-miR-12246-5p". The record is from miRBase by way of RNAcentral. Lineage: Eukaryota; Metazoa; Chordata; Aves; Galliformes; Phasianidae.